UACGUAGGGUGCAAGCGUUGUCCGGAAUUAUUGGGCGUAAAGAGCUCGUAGGCGGUCUGUCGCGUCGGCUGUCAAAACCCGGAGCUCAACUCCGGGCCUGCAGUCGAUACGGGCAAACUGGAGUGUUGCAGGGGAGACUGGAAUUCCUGGUGUAGCGGUGAAAUGCGCAGAUAUCAGGAGGAACACCGGUGGCGAAGGCGGGUCUCUGGGCAACAACUGACGCUGAGGAGCGAAAGCGUGGGGAGCGAACAGG
This 253-nucleotide ribosomal RNA is filed under the name uncultured bacterium. RNAcentral's name for it is "partial 16S ribosomal RNA". It matches the Rfam family "Bacterial small subunit ribosomal RNA", at positions 524 to 776 of the family's 1533-position model. The record is from RNAcentral.